GCUAAUACCGGAUAACAACAGAUGAUGCCUAUCAACUGUUUAAAAGAUGGUUCUGCUAUCACUCUUGGAUGGACCUGCGGUGCAUUAGCUAGUUGGUAGGGUAACGGCCUACCAAGGCGAUGAUGCAUAGCCGAGUUGAGAGACUGAUCGGCCACAUUGGGACUGAGACACGGCCCAAACUCCUACGGGAGGCAGCAGUA
Molecule: ribosomal RNA, 200 nt
Filed under: uncultured Lactobacillus sp.
Lineage: Bacteria; Bacillati; Bacillota; Bacilli; Lactobacillales; Lactobacillaceae
Description: partial 16S ribosomal RNA
Rfam family: Bacterial small subunit ribosomal RNA
Source: RNAcentral